UUAUAAUCAUGUUUUUUUUUUAAAAAAAUGGAGACUGAGAUGCAAGUUUGGAUGCCCAGCACACUGAACAUCAUGGUAUGUUUUGAUCUUUGAAAUGCCAGGUGGUCGCAGGCACACACACAUUUGCAAACAUAUGAUAGGAUGGUCUGUCUUUCCCUCAGAACCACAGCUCAGACUAUCUCCCACAUUUCUCUGAUCUAGAACAAUGAACUUAGAUUGGGAAACAACAUAUUUUGCCCUUCCUUUGUGCCAUUCUCUCAUUCAUUGGAAAAAUAUUUAUUGAGCCUCACACUGUUCUGGGAAUUUCAGAAUCCUGUACUAAAUAAAUCAGAAUGAAAGGAAAUCCCUGUUGUUAUAGAGUCCAUUUGGGGGAGACAGGCAAUAAGCAACCAAACAGAUAUAAUAUAUUAAAUAGUGGUAAAUGUUAUGAAGAAAAAUAAAGCAGAGAAGAGAAACUGGAGGUUUUAGGGUGGAAGGAGGUCAGUGAAGUCUCUCCUGAGAAGGGACAUUGGUGGAGAGAAUCAAAUGAGGUAAGAGGGCAAACCAUGCGUAUGUCUAGAGGGAGAGCAAGCACAAAAUAUAAGAAGAAGAAACAGUGAGAGCUGACUUUAAGGAGGCAAGAAGAGAAGCAGGCAAACCAGGUUAUUUUAAAGGCAUUUCCCAAUGGAUUCUCCAGUUUCUGAAACCCGGUGCAAUAUAUACAGUGACUCUCAGAGGCAGCCAGAAGUGGGUGAGGGAGAGCUGCACCUUCCAGUGUUUAAGCUUUCACAAGUUUUUGGAAGCUGGUGAACGCUGACAAAUUAUUUGUCCCACAAAACUGGAAACACACAGUCCAGACAGUAGUUGGAAGUACAACAACCAACCUGGAGUGAGUGAUGCAGAGGGUCUAUACUCAUACUUUAUGCACCGUCACACUCUUCACAGAGCAAAGCCACAGAGCCUGGAUCCCUUCAAUUGACAGUGCACAUCUCUGUGGCAAGGAUACCAAUGCGGGUGCUGGCCACUGAAUUAAUCAACAUCUGAUCUCUUGAAAAUGAUCUGGAUGAUUUGUGAAGAAGUCCACCCACCAAUAAAGACAAGUCUGUCUGUUUUCCUUAACUACUGAACAGAACUGUCAGAUGCAGCAGUCUUCUUGUCUACACAUCCAAAGCAAAAUGCUCAAAUGCUCAUGUAACCCCCUCUUAUCAAAGCUUUUUGUCUUAGAGGGAGUACUAUGGUCAUAACACUGCUUUUGUUUUUCAAAAAAUGACUUACUUUUAGCAAACAGGCUUAAAUUUAUUCAUUUUGCAAGGAGGGGUCAGAAAUUGGUCAAGCAGAACAUGAGUGAAUCUGACAUUGGAAUAAACUCUUGGGGAAAAUAAAGACUAACAGAAGAAAAGAUUCAGCCCUGUGCAGUGUACUUCUCAACCCCAGGUGCUGGGCUGUGCAAUGAAAUGAGAAGCAAGACUCGUAGUUACAUUAAUAAUGAAGACACAGAGUUGUUUAACACUGGGACUUCCUUUCUCACUGUACUCAAUGUAAAAAAAAUAAUGAGAUUCCUCCCCUCAAAACAAACUGAUAACAUUUUUAUAUUAGUUUCUGUAAAUAGGCUGUAGUUUUAGUACAUAAAAAUACUCAAUACUUAUUCACUUAUUCUAAUGAAAUUGUUUAAUGCCACAAUCUCCCUGGCAGACACUCAUUCCCAUAAUGGUCAGCUCACUUGACAGCCAAUGCUAUAUUAGAAUAAUGCUAUUUGUAGGCAGCUCUACAGUUCACAAAAUGCCUUCCCAUGUAUUAUUUUAUUUGAUCCAGAUGAUCAAAGGGUCAUGCUUACAAAAUGGGGAGUAUUCAGACUUCUGAUACUUACAUCUUAGUGUCCAUUGCAUGCCAUGCCAAAGAGUUAUUGCUAGCUGUACAUUACUCAGUUGGUAAAGGGGUUAUUAGAUUAUUCCUAAAGUUUUCCUUAAGAACACAUUACAUUUUUCCAUAUUUCUCUCUUUUCCUUUAAUUUUGAACUAUAUUGCUAUAGAGACUAUUCUUUCUAUAUUCUUGUUAACACCUCCACUGUCCUAUGCUAAAUAAGGACAAUGGGGAGAGUCCAGCCUUAACAUGAACAAGAUGAAUAAUCAUACGAAUCUACACUGCUAGGUCUCCCCAUCAGAUCUAACCCUUACUCAAUACACAGCUGCCCUUGCAGUCAACUCUACCUGAUGGAAAAGUACAGAAAGUGUUGAAGAGCCCUCAGCAGGAUCUGAAAUGAAUCAAGUUUUUGAAAAUGCUAGCACUGACAUUCUAAGGCUAUUCUAAACUGCCAAAAGUGGGCCAGAAAAAUGAAAAUAUUAAAUUCUUGCUUUGGAUUUCAGAGCUUAGCUUGGUAGUAAUUCCCCAGCCUUGAUUUUAUUUAUUACUAUUUUCUACCCUUCCUGGAAAAAGAGAUGUCUUCAAAUGUUUAAGAUCAUUCCAAAACCAAAGAAAGGGUGAUCUGCUUUUUAAAAAUCUGUUAACUUAUGACAUAAUUAUAGCAGCCUUUCCUGCGUACUAAUAUGAUGCUAUUUUCAUAUUUACCUUUCAUAAAUCCAUUGAUACAGACAUUAUCAUAAAAUAUUCAUAGACUAAUAUAUAUGAAUUUGUUAUAUUCUUUUCAACAAGAGCCCUCGUUUAUUUAAACUUAUUUUCAUUUAACUCCUACAAAAGUAGAUCAUGUUUCCGCUCUACUGUCUACAGGACAGAAUAAGGUAACUGCUUCACUACAUUGCUUUUGCAGAGCUUCCACUUUAAUUCCUUUUGCAAUCUUCCCCAGUGCCUACUGGCAGUGACUGUUUUCAGUGAUGAAGUUUUAUUUUUAAUAAUUUAUACAGAACACUAUAAUCCAUGUGCACUUAAACUAUAAUUCUACAUGCAUAAAUAGCAUAAUUAAAAACUUCUCCUAUGAUUUAUCAGAGAUCACCAAACAUUAAUAGUAUUUUUCAUAUAUGGGGUAGUACAAACCUGUCAGUCAUUAUACUCGUAUCUCAGUUAUAUUUUAGAAAAGAUCCCUAGAUUUAGUGAACCAGCGAUUAUAUGAUUUUAUAAUUUUUAUUAAGUAUUUUACUUCAACAAAGCAGUAAACAGCAAAAGAGGCACCAAUAAUUACUUUUCAACCCUCUGACUAGAAGACUUGAUAGAAGAAAAAUACAUUUACAAUAACUGACCUUUAUAAUCAGAAUAAGGUUUGCAGAAUACUUAAAAGUCUAACCUCACAAGUCAGCAUAGAAUAUCCUCAAACCCAAAGACAUGUAUUCAACAGAAUUGAUUUCCAGCUUCCCAGUUAUUUUAUUUACAGUUAUAGCCUAUCUAUAAUAAGCACUAGACCUUCAUAACCACACAAACCCACCCUGUAUGAAAUCCCAUUGUUACCUGAAAGACAUUAGGUAACUCACAACCUUUCCAACUUCUGGAUACAGAUUAGGAUAAAGUUAAUAGCCCUCUCCUACUUCACAGGACUGCUGUGAAGAUUGACCUUUUCUUACCAUAACUUGCUUAAAUCGAUUAUAGGCAUCUUAUUAUUUCACCGACUUCACAGGUUUUAAAAUGUUUUUAGGAAAUCAAGAGUGAAGCAAAGUAAAUUGUUAGUGAAUGUUAUACUCCUGUGAUGCUUUGAAUAUUUAUACUAUUUGGAGAAUAAAGAUUACCCAAUUUUCCUGAAUUCAAAGUGGUUGAUUAAAGCACUGUUUCAAC
This 3696-nucleotide long non-coding RNA is filed under the name Homo sapiens (human). Its description in RNAcentral is "HSALNT0125439". Lineage: Eukaryota; Metazoa; Chordata; Mammalia; Primates; Hominidae. The record is from RNAcentral.